UAAAGCCACUUUUUCAACCGUUUCUAAUUUCUACAGCACCAAGCAUCAACCGAACGGAACCAUUGAGGUGACAAGAGCAGAGGAACAUGACAGGCAAAAACCUCAGUCACGGUUCUAAUGAAAAUAUUCGAUGCCCUCACUGCGCAGGACCUCUUUCUAAGAACAUGGAAACCAGCAAUUGGACAGUUUCCCCCCUUGUGCGGGACAGUUUUUCUAUGAUUGGUUCUGCCGUUGGUGGCACCACCAGUGCAUUUUAUGGAUUCAACCAUGUUAUGCCUGUUGUUAGGAGAUGCGUAAAAGGGCCCAUGUGGAUACAUUUCCUCAUUGGUACACCGCCUGUGAUAGUAUUCUCUUCAGCCUGUGCAGGACUGGCAGGUGGGGCUGUUCCUGCUCUUGCACAACUUGUUUCCUCGUCUUACCAUGCAGCACUAUCAUCACCUCCUCCUUCAGAAUAAGAUUCAGAAGUCAAGAACUUCCUGUACCCUUUAAAAUUUACACUCAUACGUAAUAUAAUGGUUUUGUUCCACUAUAGUCAGCAUUCGUGCUACAUGUGUGCUGAGAGUUUUGUUUUUCUCUUUUCCUCUGAAUGAUGCUUUUCAGAUUUAGUGUUCACUAUGUAAAUUCAGCUCUAAUGCACUUGUUCUACAGAGUUACAUUAACCGUGAUUUUUGUUUCAUCAUUUGUUUUA
Molecule: RNA transcript, 688 nt
Organism: Vigna radiata var. radiata (mung bean)
Lineage: Eukaryota; Viridiplantae; Streptophyta; Magnoliopsida; Fabales; Fabaceae
Exons: 6
Source: RefSeq, a predicted model, not a curated record